Solanum lycopersicum (tomato) is the source of this 424-nucleotide long non-coding RNA. RefSeq lists it as uncharacterized. The record is from RefSeq and is a predicted model, not a curated record. Lineage: Eukaryota; Viridiplantae; Streptophyta; Magnoliopsida; Solanales; Solanaceae.
UCUAAUUAUUGAAUGUAUCUACUUAAUUAAUUGAAAAUUCCUUCUAUUUUCACUAUAAAAAAGAACCAUUACCAAGUACCUACAAGCACUUCAACUAAUUAUUAGUAUCAUAAAUAAUUGUUUGAGAUGGCAAAAUCUAUGAUAUGCAUGGUUUUUAUCAUGUUUGUUCUUUUUUCUCAAUUAAUUGAGGCAACGCAAGAGCUAUCAUAUGCACCUGAAGCAUCAUCACCAUCAAUUUCAGUUAAAUUGUCUACCACGAAUCGUAACAUUCGCAUUCUUGUUAAAGGUUGCAUUGGCUCAUCAAUGUGCAAAGGUGGUGAUUGUUGCGUUUGUGAUUUAGGCGAAUGCAUUCGAUGUUGUCAUUAAUGAUGUAACAAAAUCAUACAUAUUUUAAUUAUAUAAUGAAAUGAUUGAUUAACGACUA